RNAcentral lists this ribosomal RNA (254 nucleotides) under uncultured bacterium. RNAcentral describes it as "partial 16S ribosomal RNA". It matches the Rfam family "Bacterial small subunit ribosomal RNA", at positions 524 to 776 of the family's 1533-position model. The record is from RNAcentral.
UACGUAGGGUCCGAGCGUUGUCCGGAAUUAUUGGGCGUAAAGGGCUCGUAGGCGGUCCGUCACGUCGGGAGUGAAAAACUCAGGGCUCAACCCUGAGCGUGCUUCCGAUACGGGCGGACUAGAGGUAUGCAGGGGAGAACGGAAUUCCUGGUGUAGCGGUGGAAUGCGCAGAUAUCAGGAGGAACACCGGUGGCGAAGGCGGUUCUCUGGGCAUUACCUGACGCUGAGGAGCGAAAGCAUGGGGAGCGAACAGG